AUUGAACGCUGGCGGCAGGCUUAACACAUGCAAGUCGAGCGGAGUGAUGGUGCUUGCACUAUCACUUAGCGGCGGACGGGUGAGUAAUGCUUAGGAAUCUGCCUAUUAGUGGGGGACAACAUCUCGAAAGGGAUGCUAAUACCGCAUACGUCCUACGGGAGAAAGCAGGGGAUCACCUGUGACCUUGCGCUAAUAGAUGAGCCUAAGUCGGAUUAGCUAGUUGGUGGGGUAAAGGCCUACCAAGGCGACGAUCUGUAGCGGGUCUGAGAGGAUGAUCCGCCACACUGGGACUGAGACACGGCCCAGACUCAUACGGGAGGCAGCAGUGGGGAAUAUUGGACAAUGGGGGGAACCCUGAUCCAGCCAUGCCGCGUGUGUGAAGAAGGCCUUAUGGUUGUAAAGCACUUUAAGCGAGGAGGAGGCUCUUUUGGUUAAUACCCAAGAUGAGUGGACGUUACUCGCAGAAUAAGCACCGGCUAACUCUGUGCCAGCCGCCGCCGUAA
RNAcentral lists this ribosomal RNA (503 nucleotides) under uncultured bacterium. RNAcentral's name for it is "partial 16S ribosomal RNA". It matches the Rfam family "Bacterial small subunit ribosomal RNA", at positions 30 to 523 of the family's 1533-position model. The record is from RNAcentral.